UGGGGAAUAUUGCACAAUGGGCGCAAGCCUGAUGCAGCCAUGCCGCGUGUGUGAAGAAGGCCUUCGGGUUGUAAAGCACUUUCAGCGAGGAGGAAGGUGGUGAGCUUAAUACGCUCAUCAAUUGACGUUACUCGCAGAAGAAGCACCGGCUAACUCCGUGCCAGCAGCCGCGGUAAUACGGAGGGUGCAAGCGUUAAUCGGAAUUACUGGGCGUAAAGCGCACGCAGGCGGUUUGUUAAGUCAGAUGUGAAAUCCCCGGGCUCAACCUGGGAACUGCAUUUGAAACUGGCAAGCUAGAGUCUCGUAGAGGGGGGUAGAAUUCCAGGUGUAGCGGUGAAAUGCGUAGAGAUCUGGAGGAAUACCGGUGGCGAAGGCGGCCCCCUGGACGAAGACUGACGCUCAGGUGCGAAAGCGUGGGGCAGCAAACAGGAUUAGAUACCCUGGUAGUCCAGCGCUGUAAACGAUGUCGAUUUGGAGGUUGUGCCCUUGAGGCGUGGCUUCCGGAGCUAACGCGUUAAAGUCGACCGCCUGGGGAGUACGGCCGCAAGGUUAAAACUCAAAUGAAUUGACGGGGUCAUAGCUGUUUCCU
This 589-nucleotide ribosomal RNA is filed under the name uncultured bacterium. Its description in RNAcentral is "partial 16S ribosomal RNA". It matches the Rfam family "Bacterial small subunit ribosomal RNA", at positions 355 to 1375 of the family's 1533-position model. The record is from RNAcentral.